This 1562-nucleotide long non-coding RNA is filed under the name Dermacentor andersoni. Its description in RNAcentral is "uncharacterized LOC126529751". Lineage: Eukaryota; Metazoa; Arthropoda; Arachnida; Ixodida; Ixodidae. The record is from RNAcentral.
UCGAAGCAGACAAUACAUUUCCGCGGCAGUACGUUUGUUUCUAUCCCUUGUGCUACUAGUGUACAUCACAGCUAUGUUUUUUGACAAGGAAAUUUAUCCAUGUGAUACGCUAAGAGGGUGAAGCUGAAUUGUGCAAAAAAGCCGUGAAACCCACCGCACUUUUAUUAUCCCAUUGCACACCUUAUUUAAGGGUGAAACGCAAAUGACCAUUAUCAGAGGUUACUUAUGUUAAUUUCGGUGUUACUGCUGAUCAUAUGUGCACAGAAAAAGGUUGCGAAAAAGGGAGACAAGGUCGUUAUUGCAAGGUUGAGCUUCAGAAAAGAAAGACACUGUGCUGCGUAAUGCAGCUGGAACGUCUUGCGUUACAUGCCAUUUUUGCCAUAGGGCUCGCCAUACUUCAUUUAAGCAGUUGUACUGUAUUGCGGCGAUGCUUGUUGAAAGACUGAUUGGACAUUUUUUUUUUCAUGAUUGCAUUGACAAGUGCUUUCUUUUGCAGCAUCGCACGAAGGCGCAAAUCAGACAUACAAGUGGCGAGUUUUCAGCUGCCGUUUCUGCAGGGCUCUGCUAGUCAUCGAAAACGCCCUUGGCAUCCUGACACAAGGAUGGAGAAUUCUGCGACGACCAAUCAAAGCCAAGAACGACAACGUCAUCAGAUAUGUGGAAAGCUGCAUAUUGUUGGACAAUAUUUUGAUCCAGGAGCCACCAGCAUCUGUUGCUGCAUGCUGCCCUCCAGGCUUUGCCGACAGCGAGGAUUAGGACGAACGGUUCCCCCUGGCAGCUGAAAAGAGCAACCAGCCGCUGGUGCCCUCUUGCCGUCGAAACCUAUUGGGUGCCACGCUCCUCGGUAUGCAAAAGAAGUACGGGAUAAGCUGGCACACCACUUCAUCACAGCCGGACAAGUUCCCUGGCACGAUAAAGGGGUCACCAGUACUUGAACUGCAAAAGAUGUGUUUGCGGGUUUCCACGCCUGGUGCCAUGGCAUCGGAGGACACCUCUCUUUGUUUGCCAUCAGCUACCCCUAUUGCUGCAUGGCUGCAAUGACAGUGGAAGAACAGCUUUUCAUGUAUGACAUUUGACAGGUACAUUGCUACAUGCAAAUGUUACCAUUGGUGAACUGGCCGCUAGUCAUUCAUGCCUACUCACCUCUGAUUACGCUCAUCCAUGGUGGUGCAGAUACUGUAACGAAAUGAGCAAUGUUUAUUUACACUUACCUCUCAGGAUAGCACAUCUGCCAGCAUACAUGUUGUGUUGUGAAAUGUUGUGAAUUAGCACUUUUUGACCUCACAAGUACUAGUUUGUACAGUUGUCAAGGUUCCACUUACAGAAAGUUAGAGGUUUCUGUUAUGGUCAACCAUCGUAUGACAAACUACAUCGUUUACCCCUAUCUUAUAUGCAGGCUGAAAUUUGUAUAUUACCUUGAUUGAAUGUCACUCAUGCUACAAAGCACCCUGAAAGACGCAUGUCUAAUUAGAAGUUUACCGUCACUAGCCUGAUUAUUGUGACAUGAUCCAGCCUAAUAAAUUUAUAGGUCGCGUGCAGCUUAAUAAUGUCAUGACAUGCAG